This 409-nucleotide ribosomal RNA is filed under the name Bacillota bacterium. Its description in RNAcentral is "Firmicutes bacterium partial 16S ribosomal RNA". It matches the Rfam family "Bacterial small subunit ribosomal RNA", at positions 355 to 776 of the family's 1533-position model. Lineage: Bacteria; Bacillati; Bacillota. The record is from RNAcentral.
UGGGGAAUAUUGCACAAUGGGGGAAACCCUGAUGCAGCGACGCAGCGUGCGGGAUGACGGCCUUCGGGUUGUAAACCGCUUUCAGCAGGGAAGAAGCGCAAGUGACGGUACCUGCAGAAGAAGUACCGGCUAACUACGUGCCAGCAGCCGCGGUAAUACGUAGGGUACGAGCGUUGUCCGGAAUUAUUGGGCGUAAAGAGCUCGUAGGUGGUUGGUCACGUCUGCUGUGGAUACGCAACGCUUAACGUUGCGCGUGCAGUGGGUACGGGCUGACUAGAGUGCAGUAGGGGAGUCUGGAAUUCCUGGUGUAGCGGUGAAAUGCGCAGAUAUCAGGAGGAACACCGGUGGCGAAGGCGGGACUCUGGGCUGUAACUGACACUGAGGAGCGAAAGCAUGGGGAGCGAACAGG